This 253-nucleotide ribosomal RNA is filed under the name uncultured bacterium. RNAcentral's name for it is "partial 16S ribosomal RNA". It matches the Rfam family "Bacterial small subunit ribosomal RNA", at positions 524 to 776 of the family's 1533-position model. The record is from RNAcentral.
UACAGAGGUCUCAAGCGUUGUUCGGAUUCAUUGGGCGUAAAGGGUGCGUAGGCGGCGCUGUAAGUCGGGUGUGAAAUCUCGGAGCUUAACUCCGAAACUGCAUUCGAUACUGCCGUGCUUGAGGACUGGAGAGGAGACUGGAAUUUACGGUGUAGCGGUGAAAUGCGUAGAUAUCGUAAGGAAGACCAGUGGCGAAGGCGGGUCUCUGGACAGUUACUGACGCUGAGGCACGAAGGUCAGGGGAGCAAACGGG